Molecule: long non-coding RNA, 9734 nt
Filed under: Cinara cedri
Lineage: Eukaryota; Metazoa; Arthropoda; Insecta; Hemiptera; Aphididae
Source: RNAcentral
UGUCCGUCAGUGCUCAGCACUCACUGGCCACAGGUUCGCCACUCACUCGUCACGGUGCUGCAGUCGUCGGCCGUCGUCCGCGAUUCAGAUCACUGUUUUCGCGUUACGUUCCGAUGCCGGCAAAAGUGCCGGACAGCGUAGUGCAAACGGCCAGAAAAUGUCGGUAUAUUUCGAUCGGAGGUAUGUACGUUGAUUGUAUUUCGAUUAUUACCGAAAUCGACAAGCGGUUCGAAUUUACCGUAACAUUAUUAUUACGGUUUUCUUUAAACCGUUCGAAACCGCCGAAGAAAACACCCGAUUCUAUUACCUACCUGUUUUGAAUUUUCAAUGUCUUUUCAAGAAAUCUCUGCGUUAUUCAAACGUGUGCCAGCGUCGUUUACCAACGGUUACAUUUUCCAACUUGUUCCUGUGUAUUUUUUUUUUUUUAUAAUAUGUAGAGUAACUGGGCGCGAUAUAAUUUUAUACGACUAUACGCGACGUCUAUUACAAAUAAAACUAUUUAAAUGUCUAUCGUUUCGUAACAGCAUUAAUUAAUACUUAUAGCGCCUUUUGUUAAGUUAACAGAUAAGUAUCGCCGCCGUUGACAUCAACGUCUCAACAGUUACGCGCUUCGGAUCGCGGUAUUUCGUUUUGUACCGGCCGGCAUGGGACAGCUAAUAUUAUAUUUUGUGAUACAAGCGAUCUUUGUUGAAGACUAAUUUUUCGAUUGGUGUACUUCUGACACAGGUAAAACAAUUUUGAAAUCGUUUAUUAAUUGUAGCGAUCGUAUUAUCAGCGACGGAUUUACAACGUUUUUAACGGUGGAGUGGGAGGAUUUUAAACAAUUAUGAUAUUAUGCAUACAGUAAAACCUCUCUAUAACGGAUACUCUUAUAAGAUGGAAUCCUUUUAACUGACCUCUAAUAAACGAAAACAAACAUUUUCGUAGUAUAGCAAAGAUUAGAUGUGUACCUGUAGUACAAAGUAGAGCCAAAAACAAACCAUUUUAAAACCGUAAUCUCAUAUUUGGAAGAGUUACAAAAGUUUUUAGCUGCAAUUUCAAAUUCAAAGCCAUUAGAAAUAACAUAAAAACCAUGAAAAUGUGCUGCCCUUGGUCACAAAAAAACUGUAAAAUAUUAUGAACUAUUUUUUAAUUAUUAAAAAGGUAAUAUACAAUAUCAUUUUUUUUUUACCUUUUGGUAUUAAUUUUUUAGUAUUCUAUACGGUUAAAUGUAUGUAAUAUUUUUAUAGGUACCUAAAAUUGAAUAUUUUUUUCUUUAUUACAGAAAACUGAGCAGAAAAGUCUUUAAAACGGAAAAGUUUGUUGGUCCUAAGUGAUUUCAUUAUAGAAAGGUUUUACUGUAUUUAAAAAGUUUUAUUUUCAAAAAGAGCAGCUGUUUUUUAGACAUUUUAUUGAAAUUAUAUUGGUGUCUGGAGGAUCCAGGGAGUUUUAAAUCCUCCCCCACUCCAUAAAUCCGCUACUAAUAAUUAUUAUUAAUGAUUAUUUAGAUGUGAAUUUUGUAGUAAAUGAAUACCUAAAAUAGAUUUUAGCUUACUAUCUUUUGUUUUGCGUAGAUUUCUUAGUAAUAUACCUACCUAUAGGUACAUCCACAGUAUAAUAUACUGUAGGAAAAUUCUAUUAUAAAUUCGAAUUUAUCCUUAAAUUAAUAAUAUUUAAUUUUGUUAAUUUCGUUUCUAUUAAUCUAUUUUUCUAAAUUUUCCGAUUUUUUUAAAUGCAUUUUGUUUUUUUUUGAAAUUUAAAAUACAUAUCUAUAUACACAUAAAUUACAAUAUGAUUCAUUUAACAUUAAGAAUUCAUUAUUUAGUGAAGUAUUAAUUUUUUUCAAAAAAAAAUAUUAGUUUGAUUAUUUAAGAACUGAAUACCUUGCUCGAAGUUAUUACAAUACCUACCAUUAAUUUUAAAGGUGAAACAACUAACUUUGGUACUUUUGAUUUUCAAAUUGCAACAUUAAAAAAUUCCAUAAUUAGAUGGAGUAUUUAAAUUUUUGUCUAGAAAUUGUUGAUUUGCGUCAACUCGUUGAUGAGAUAUUCCACUUUUAACUUUAGGUAGGGAGAGAGUAGUGGAGCAAUAUUUGUGGAUCAUUAUUAAUUCCUUUAUGAUAUAUUCCUAUUUUAUUAACUUCAAGAUAAACAGUUAAAUUAAAUAAAGUGUGUUUUAUCUAUUAAAUAAUAAACAAAUAAAAUGUUUCUGUAAUUUUAGCUAUUAUUUUAAGAUUAUAUUUUCUAGUUUAAUUAAACAUUGAAUAUAAUCAAUUAAUAUUUAUAUUUACUGAAUUGAUUUUUGUUUCAUAAUUUUAUAUGGCUAGAGGUUUUAAUGGUUUACAUGGAAUUAUUGGAUCUUUAUUUAAUAUUAAAUUUUAUUUAAAUAAUAAAAUCAUAUCAGAUUUGAAUUAGCAGCUUGAGACUGACACUUUAUUGAUAUUGUUUGCCAAUUUGUAUGUAUAUAAAUUUUGUUUAUGAAAUAAUUAAAUGUUGUCAAUAAAAUAGGUGGGAAGAUGAGAUACAUUAUGUUGUUUAAUUUAUAUCUGUAGCAUUGAUAACAAUAACUAACUAAAAAGGAUUCUAUUGUUUUACAUGUUUUGAAAGGCCCUCGGGGCGUUCUCAGAAGGUGAGAGUCGCUCCACAUGGCAUUUUUUCUUCAAAUUUUUGUAAAUUAUAUCACACCAAGAAAAUGCAUAAAAAUACAUUGUAAAAUUGUGUGAUAUUGCAUAUUAGACACAAAUAAAAGAAUUUUAUCACUCUGAAAUAAAACAAAUUUUAUCAUAUAGCAUCGAGAUAAUUGUUGUAUACCUUCUACUUAAUACUGUUAUACUAUGAUAAUAUAAAUUUCAUUUUUUAUAAUUAUUUUCUUUAUAUCUACCUACCAAUUGCUUUUUAAUGCAAAUGAAUGACUGGUUAUUGAUAAUAAUUAUUACAAUAUGUCUCUUUUAUUGUUAUAAAAGUUGUAGUUUAUUAAAAUAAUUUAAAAAUGUGAAAUUUAUUGAACUAAACAGAAGUUAUACUUAUUAUGUAAAAUAAUUGAAUAAUAUAAUGCCCACUAGUUAUUAUAUAUAAUAACUAGAUUUAUUAAACUAAAAACAUAGGAACAUAUUCAUCAUAAACUACACAUACCUAUAUAGACAGAUAGACUGAUUCAUUCAACACACAACAUUCAUUAUUUUGAAUAUUAUUCACUUUUUUUGGAAUUUUCUUUUGGGAGAUUAGUUUAAAUAUUAAAAUCUUUAAUUUUUUUUAGCUAUAUGAUAUUUUUAAUCUCUGUUUGUACCCUAAAUAAGUAUCAACUUCUAAUUUUUAAAUGAAAACCCCUAUUUUUAUUACCAGACAUCUAUGAAGAUAUUUUUUAUGAAUUCAAAUUUAAUGUAUAAGGCAUUUGCCUUAAUAUUCUAAUACAUUCCUUGUAUAUUUGAAUUAAUUUCCCAAAAGAAAAUUCUAAAUAAAGUUAAUACUUUUUUGAAUAAUGAGUGUUGUAUGUUAAAUGGAUAUUUUACUCUGUAUAUUUACAUUUUUUAAGUUUUUGUACAUAGUUUUGUUUUUGCUUUAUAAUUAUUUCCUUGCUUUUCUAUGCUUAUUAGAUUAAAAACUUGGUUGAGAAAUCAAAUUGGGUAAACAUGUUUGACUGGUUUGGUGCUUAUGAAUAUUUAUAAUAAUAAUUAAUAUUAUGGUACAUAUUAAUAACAUAAUUAAUGCUUUUGGUAAAUCAAAACCCAAAGUUGAUUUCAUUAUUUAAAAUUUGCAUUCAGUUAAAUUAUAUUCAGAUUCAAUUAGUUUUUUUUUAAUCUAAAUGAGUACCUAUAAUUUGUAAAUUGUUUUUUCUCACUUUAUUACCUAAUCACUUCUAUUAUUAGUUUAUAUUUAAAUAUGCAUACAAAUAUUUUAGAUACUGUGACCAUGUUAACUCUGUUUUCCUUAAAAGCCAAUAUUUUAAACAUUUUGAUUUUAACGAUUUCACUAUUUGUUGAAUUUAUAAUCAUGCCUAUGACAUUACACUCAAUUUUUUUUAAAUAAAUCAUUAAAAUGAACUUCCUGUUAAAUUUUUAAGCAUAUCUGUUUGAUCUGACAAUUUUAUCCACAGAGUACAUACCAAAUAAAAAACUAUAUUUGAAACUUGCAAAAUUAAAAUAUCCAUAAGUAGUUCAUAAAUUGUCCAAAUGUUUUGAACAAUGUACCACAACUAGGAAAGGCAAAUAUAAGGUUUUUUUCAAAAUUUCAAGUUUCUACAAUUUUUUUAACUGAAUUAUAACAACAAAAAAAAAAAAAAAAAUUUGAAAAUAAUAAAAUAAUAAUUUUUGUAAAUUUUCCUGUUCUUUCUAUAUAUUUUUCUUUCGAUUUUGCUCAACUAUUAAAAAAAUUACAAAUAUCAUCAAAACCUGAUCUUAUUGGUUACCAACUAAAUUAAAAAUGCAACAAAAAUAAUCUCUUGUUGUUUUUCUUUUGGUGCAAUAUUUAUGGUACAAAAUAUAGUUCACAAAAAUUAAAAAUAAUGUAAUUGGCUGUAAAUGGAAUGUACAGUAAAUAUUUACAGGUUUACCUAUAAGUUUGUUUCUGGUUUUUCUCAAUUAUUUUGAAAACACCAUGGAGAAUCCAAAAAUAAUCUCUCGAAUGCUACAGAUGAAAUUUUUUUUUGGAAAAGGUGCUUCAUACACUUAAUACAUUGGAUGAAGAUUUCUAGUUCCUCACAGAAACAAAAAAAAAAAAAAAAAUUAACUGUAAAAACCAAUAGAUCCCUUGCUAUGCUGCGAAUAUCAAAAUGUAAUAAUAAUAAAACAUUUUUUUAAAUAAAAUAAUUUGAAAAAUAGGUUUUAAUUUUAAUUAUAUCAAUAUUAUCUGCAUUAAUAAUUUUAUUUUGAAUUAUAAUAUUAAUUAAUAUAAAAAUAAUAUUCAAUCACAAUAAAUUAGCAACAUUUGAAUGUUGAUUUGAUUCAUUUAAUAAAUCACAUAUUCCAUUAUAAAUAAACUUCUACUUAAUUAAAAUUAUUUUCAUAAUUUUCGAAAUUGAUAUUUCAAUUAGAGAUAUUCCGGGUAGAUAAUUUGUUAAAAAACCGGGUAUCAAUUACUGGCCAAGUACAAUUUUUAAUACUAAUCAAGUGUCAAGUAUUGGCUGAGUAUAAAAGUAAAUACAGAAUGUAUUAUAAUAUCGAAUAUAUUGAAAUAUAAUUUCGUUGAUUCUACCAAACAGAUCACUAUUUCUAUUGAGUGUAUUUUUGUGUGUAAAAUGACAUUGGCACUGGGUACCUCAACAUUAGAAGAUACAUAAUUUAAUUUAAUAAUUUAAUAAUUUAUUCUGGUUAUUAAUUUGAUCAUUAAAAAGAUCUACUGAUAAACUAUCUGCACUAUUAUUCUACAUCUGCAACCAGAAAUGCUUUCAAUAUUUUUCAGUAUGAAUUAAAAUUUUAUACUUUGAGUGAGGAAUGUAUUGGUUUUACAAUGAUAUUUAUUUUUUCCCUUCUUAUUUUUUACCUGUAAACAACUUUUCUAAUUUUUGUUACAAUUUUUAAAUUUAGUACCUUUUCUGAAAAGAAAUUUUAUCUAGAUGUUAGUGGUACUUUAGGGACAUCAUUUUUGCAGUUUUCAUAAUGGAAAAAACGGAAAUUAAUUAAAAUAAUUCUUUUAUUAUUUUAAAUUUUGGUUUUUUUUUUUGGUUUUUAUUUGAUAGAAAUCAUAAGUACUAGACAAUUUAUAUUUGCCUUUUCUAGACAUGGUAUAAUUUUCAAAACAUUUGAGCUAUUUAUAGACAUUUUAAUUUUGCAAGCUUUUUACCUAAUUUUUAAUUGAUACUCUGUGGACAAAAUAAUUAGAUCAAACAGAAAUGUUUGGAAUUUUAACAGGAAGUUCAUUUUAAUUUGUAUUUAGUGGUUAACAAGAAAAAAGUUGAGUUUAAUAAAGUAUUUUUUUACAUUCUGAGUUUAGCAAAGAAUGUAUUGGUUUUAGAAAGAUGUUUUUUUUUUAAUUUAGUUUUUUUUGUGAACAAUUUUUACCAGGAAGCUUACUCCAAUUAAUAAGUAUAGCACCUUUUCUAAAAGGAAAUGUUCUCUGGGCGGUAUUUAAAGAGGUCAUAUUUUGAAAUUCACAUUAAUAUUAGAUAUAAUAAGAAAAACCUGGUUCUUUAGGUUAAAAAAAAAUUAAAGAUUAAAAAUAGGUUUGUUAUUGGCAACGGGUUUUAUUUAUUUUUUGUUAUUAAGUUUUUAUUAUUUUAAUUUUUUUUCAAAUAAUCAUUGUUGUUAUGGAAAUGCAUAUUGUUAUAGUCAUUUUACCAUAGUAUAUAUAUUGUUGACAAAGCCACACUAUCAACUGAAUUCUGUUCAGAAUCGUUUUUUUUACAAUGGUUUAUCGUUGCUUAUAGAUAUAUAUAUAAAUUCCCCUUUGUAUUCUACCUUCCCAACUUCCUACCUAUUACAGUGCUGUGACCAUGUAUCUCCAUGUAUGUCUUUUUAAAAAAUAAUUUUAAUAUCAAAUGAUGAUGAAAACAGUAAAAAUUAUGUUCUUUUAAAACAUGUAUACAAAAUCUAUGCUCAGAAUCUGUUUUCAUUAGCGAUUAUUUCGUACAGAUAUACGUUUAACUUCUCCUCUACCUUCCCAACUUCACACCUACAACAGUAACCCACACUUUGUGUUAAGUAUGUCCAUAUUUUAAUAUAUAAAAAUUAAACUUUAUUCAAAUUGACACUGUCAGAAUUUACUGUUUGAACAAUAUUUCUCAUAAGUAGAGUUCAGAUUUAUAUUCUAAUGUUUGAAAUAUGAUGUUUAUAUGUAGCAGAAUUGAUGAAAUAUUCCCAAAAAUAUUCUAAAUAUUCUCAAAAUAAUAAUCAAAAAAAAUCUUUGAUUGUUAUUGAAUUAUUUUUUUAGAUCGUAGAUAAUAGAUUCUAUUAUUAUUUAUUUAUGUAUCAUGGCUUUUUGGGUGUAUCAGUAUAAAAAUAUAUUUGCUCAUGAGUUUUGAAUAACAAUUUAUUACAAUAAAUUACUGAAUCUGUAACUAAAAAUAAACUAAACUAAAAAUUUGAUAAUAUUUCUAUAAUAUAAUCUAUUAUAGCUGAAAUAUGUUAAAAUAUUCUUUAAUAAAUCUUGGAUGAAAAGUCCGAGGUCAAAAGAUACAUGGAUAAAAAGUCUGAGCCCUUUUUUACAUUCUACAAUAAUAAUAAUAAUUUAAAAUAAGUUAUUGUUUGAAAAAUAAUCAAUAAAAAUAUUGAUUAGUGUACAAUAAAAGUGAUAACAAUUUUUAGCUUACUAUUGGAAGUAAAUAAAAUAGCUAGACAUUAUUUUCAGCACAACUUUUUUUACUCUCAUUAAAAAUCAUAUGUUUAUUAAAAAUAUGUUUUUGCAUAAAAAUCGGGACUUUACUCAUAGGUAUUUAAAAUUAGAUUAAUAUAUAUUGUCUUUAAAAUGUUAUAUUAAAGAUUGCAACUAUUUAUAUAUGUAUUUUUUUAUUUAGUUUAGAUAUGUAAAGUGUAACUACAGGAUUACAAUACACUGAUUCUAUAUAAAUGUUAUUUGGUAAAAAUUAGUAAAAAUACUAACAACAACUGAGUUUGAAUGAAGUAAGUUUUCAUUUAAAACAAUCAUGUUAAUUUAUACCUUUUUAUUAAAAUCUAAAUCUAUUUUUUUAAGUUUCAUUUAGGGCUCCUUAAAUUUAUCUACAAAACUCUGCCUGCAUAACUACAAUAAUUAAACAUUAAACAAUUGAUCAUUGAUCAUGUAAUGAAGAUUAAAAUUGAAGAGAUUAUAUUGGAAAAGAAAAAUCAAUAAUAAUUGAAUUAAAUACAUUUAAAUGCAGAAUAUUAUAAAGAAAUUAUACACAUUUGUGAUUGGUAUGUACUCUAUAUAUAUUUUUUUAUUUUCUUACUUAUGUAAUUAUAAUAUUUAUUAGGGAAACUUACAGUUUUAGAAAAUACACUUUUUACUUAUAAAUUGCGCACAACUAGUAUCACAUGUUUCCAUUUGUCAUUUAUUGGAUAAUCAUUGCUCAACCUCAACUCAAGUCUGAGGGUAGAGAAUAGCACUGCUAGGUGUACCUCACAAAAACAUAGAGUAUUGAUGAACGCAAUUAUUAAUAUUAUUACUAUAUCUUUAGUAACAACUAUGAAAUUAUCAACAAUUUGGAUUAUAGUUUCAAUACUUACAGUAUUAAUGUAGUUUCAACAUUGGCAUUUGUAGUGUAAGAAAACAUCCAAGUAUACCAUUGAAAUUUUGAUAUUCAGUGCAUACUGAUAUCCACUGCUGCUAUUUAUUCAAAAUCAGUACCAAGCAAACCACACUUGACACUUGAAUGUGGUAAAUUUUCUGAUUAAAACCAUAGAAACCCUCAAUUCAUGAAUUUGAUCUAAUACUACUUUUUCAGGUGAGACAUAAAAGUAUCUUCAAAACUCUGUCUACAUAACUACUGUUGCACAUUUCAAUAUAGAAUACUCAGGACCUAUAACUCUUUAGUUGGUAUGUAUUAAACAUAUUUAACAUUUUGAUUGUAAUAUUUUUAAUGAGAACUUACAAUUUUAGAAAAUACACUAUUCACUUAUAUAUUGCGCACAACUAGUGUAGCAUGUCUUCACUUGCCAUUCAUGGGCCAGUCAUUACCCAACUUUUUGUGCAGUCUGCAGGCUGUGAAUGAUACUGCUUGGUGAACCUGCCGUGAGAUCUUGACAAUUGCAAUAACAAAGACCUUUACUAUUACUUUAUAUACAACUAAAGCUUUUCAUCAGCUACAACUAUUACUACAUCUAUAACUUUAACUAUUACUACAUAUAUGAUUACAACUUAUUACUUUCCACUACCUAGACUAUAGUUUCAACUACAAUAUCAUUAUAGUUCCCACAUUGGAAUUUUGGAGUAUAAAAUUGUACAAUAUAACCAUUAAAAUAUUGAUACUUGGUGCAUAUAAGUACCCAAGUAAACACAAUUGAUGUACCAUUGGGUAUGUCUUAUAAGGAUACAAUUAUAAAACCAUACAGCUUUUGAAUUAUAUAUAAAUCUUGUAUUUUAGAUAAUGCCCAUUAAAUAUAUCUAUAAAACACCGCCUACUUAACUCUAGUUACACAUUUGAGUUUCAAUUGAUUUAAUUGAGAUUAAUAAGUAAGAGUGUACAUUGUGUAGAAGUCUUGUUCCAUAUAAUUGUACAAAAAUGUUUAUGGAGAAAACUGAGGAUUCAUAAGGGAUUGGCCAGCUUUUAAUAUGGUAUUAUUCCCACUUCACACAUAUAUUUUGAAUUUUUGUCAUUUUUAUUGAGAUAUUUUCAUUAUAGAAACAUAUGGAGAGUUAUAUAAUACACAAUUUACUUAUAUACUGCGCACAACUAAUAUAGCAUGUUUUUAAUUGUUGUUAUUCAUGCACAAUGCUCCUUUUGGAGUAUAAAAUAACACUAGAAAAUGCUAUUUAUUCAAAAUCAGUACCAAGCAAACCACACUUGACACUUGAAUGUGGUAAAUUUUCUGAUUAAAACCAUAGAAACCCUCAAUUCAUGAAUUUGAUCUAAUACUACUUUUUCAGGUGAGACAUAAAAGUAUCUUCAAAACUCUGUCUACAUAACUACUGUUGCACAUUUCAAUAUAGAAUACUCAGGACCUAUAACUCUUUAGUAAGUAUGUAUUAAACAUAUUUAACAUUUUGAUUGUAAUAUUUUUAAUGAGAACUUACAAUUUUAGAAAAUACACUAUUCACUUAUAUAUUGCGCACAACUAGUGUAGCAUGUCUUCAUUUGCCAUUCAUGGGCCAGUCAUCACCCAACAUUUUGUGCUUUCUGCAGUACCA